RNAcentral lists this transfer RNA (77 nucleotides) under Proteobacteria bacterium SG_bin7. RNAcentral describes it as "tRNA-Val". It matches the Rfam family "tRNA". From Rfam's summary of the family: Transfer RNA (tRNA) molecules are approximately 80 nucleotides in length. Their secondary structure includes four short double-helical elements and three loops (D, anti-codon, and T loops). The record is from RNAcentral. Lineage: Bacteria; Pseudomonadati; Pseudomonadota.
UGAGGCGUAGCUCAGUUGGUUAGAGCGCUUGCUUGACAUGCAAGAGGUCGCUGGUUCGAGUCCAGUCGCUUCAACCA